AAAUCUCCAGUAUCAGUAUGGUUUAUAGUAUUUGAUGAACUAUGCGAAAGGUUCAACUAUUUUGGACUUCGAAGUAAGAAAACUUAGUUAUAAAUUAAUGGAUAUAUAUUAUAUAUACCUACCAGAUACUUAUUAGCUUUAAUCUAUAUACCUAGUUAAAUUAAGUAUGUACAAUGUAUAGAAAGUCAAACAAACUUGUAUAAUUAAGUAAUUCUAGUUUUCACCAUUUUGACGAAUAGGUAAUUUAAAAAUUGUUUAAUAUAAUGUUAUAUCAGUGCCGUAGCCAGGGAGGAAAGUGUACUGGAGGCACAUACCUCCUUCGAAAUGUUUUAUUUUUCGUUAUGCUGCCAUGCAGUUUACAUAAAUUUGAUAUACUAGUACAAUUUAUUAGUAGUAGUACUGUUAUUAUUAUUAUUAUUAUUAUACGUAUAAUGUUUUCUAUUAUAUAUGUAAUAACAUAUAAUAAUAUAUUAUAUUUUCUAACAAG
Cinara cedri is the source of this 487-nucleotide non-coding RNA. The record is from the annotation of a GenBank genome assembly. NCBI's taxonomy places the organism in Eukaryota, Metazoa, Arthropoda, Insecta, Hemiptera, Aphididae.